GACGAACGCUGGCGGCGUGCUUAACACAUGCAAGUCGAACGGAAAGGCCCUGCUUGCAGGGUACUCGAGUGGCGAACGGGUGAGUAACACGUGGGUGAUCUGCCCUGCACUUCGGGAUAAGCCUGGGAAACUGGGUCUAAUACCGGAUAGGAGCCAUUUUUAGUGUGAUGGUUGGAAAGUUUUUUCGGUGUAGGAUGAGCUCGCGGCCUAUCAGCUUGUUGGUGGGGUAAUGGCCUACCAAGGCGGCGACGGGUAGCCGGCCUGAGAGGGUGGACGGCCACAUUGGGACUGAGAUACGGCCCAGACGCCUACGGGAGGCAGCAGUGGGGAAUAUUGCACAAUGGGCGCAAGCCUGAUGCAGCGACGCCGCGUGGGGGAUGACGGCCUUCGGGUUGUAAACUCCUUUCGCGAGGGACGAAGCUUUUUGUGACGGUACCUAGAUAAGAAGCACCGGCUAACUACGUG
Molecule: ribosomal RNA, 465 nt
Filed under: uncultured bacterium
Lineage: Bacteria
Description: partial 16S ribosomal RNA
Rfam family: Bacterial small subunit ribosomal RNA
Source: RNAcentral